UACGGAGGAUGCAAGCGUUAUCCGGAUUCAUUGGGUUUAAAGGGUGCGUAGGCGGAAUAAUAAGUCAGUGGUGAAAUCUUGCAGCUUAACUGUAAAAUUGCCUCUGAUACUGUUAUUCUUGAGUGCAGUUGAGGUAGGCGGAAUGUGUAAUGUAGCGGUGAAAUGCUUAGAUAUUACACAGAACACCGAUUGCGUAGGCAGCUUACUAAACUGUAACUGACGCUGAGGCACGAAAGCGUGGGGAG
This 245-nucleotide ribosomal RNA is filed under the name uncultured bacterium. RNAcentral's name for it is "partial 16S ribosomal RNA". It matches the Rfam family "Bacterial small subunit ribosomal RNA", at positions 524 to 768 of the family's 1533-position model. The record is from RNAcentral.